Molecule: unclassified non-coding RNA, 717 nt
Filed under: Campylobacter lari
Lineage: Bacteria; Pseudomonadati; Campylobacterota; Epsilonproteobacteria; Campylobacterales; Campylobacteraceae
Description: partial miscellaneous RNA
Rfam family: tRNA (bases 116-187)
Source: RNAcentral
CUGCGGUUGGAUCACCUCCUUUCUAGAGUACAAAGUAAUAAGUCUCACAACUAUUACUUCAAUAAACUCAAUCAUCCUUGUUUAGAUUUCAAAGAUUGAUGAAAAAGCUAAUUUUGGGGAAUUAGCUCAGCUGGGAGAGCGCCUGCUUUGCACGCAAGAGGUCAGCGAAAAAAUCCCGCUAUUCUCUUUUUUUAUUAUUGGCCUAUAGUACUGCUGGUUAGAGUGCACCCCUUGCUUUGGUGAGGUCAACUCUUUCUCUCUUGUUCGGCCCGGGGAAUUAACUAUUUGUUUGCAAGCGCCUGCUUUGAAUUUUAGAAGUUAACGUAAGUAUCCCGCUAUUCUUAUAAAUAAAAAUAUUUUAAUUAUUAAUUUGCUUACUUGAGGUUUUAAGACCGAAGUGGUCUAAAUUUCAAAAUAUUUUAUAUAUAACAUUAGUUAUAUAAGGUUGUUUGAAUUAUCAUUGUUAAGAGUCACAAGCAAGUUUUAAUAAAAACAAUUUUACAGGACUUGUUAAUGAAUAAAAUUAUUAUUAUCUUUGCGUUAGUCUAUAAAGAUUAAAGAUAAGUUUUAAACUCACAGCUAAUUAACUAUAUAUAGUUAUUAAGUGUUUAAAUGCUUUCCGUCAUGAGAUAGUAAGGUUUAAUUGUAACAACUUUAACAGAGAAGUGAUGCAUUUUAGUAAUAAAAGUAAUUGCUGUAAGCUACUAAGAUCGAAUG